GAUGAACGCUAGCUACAGGCUUAACACAUGCAAGUCGUGGGGCAGCAUGAAGGAAGCUUGCUUCCUUUGAUGGCGACCGGCGCACGGGUGAGUAACGCGUAUCCAACCUGGCCCUCAGUAGGGAAUAGCCCGGCGAAAGUCGGAUUAAUGCCCUAUGUUCUCCUUUGCGGGCAUCUAAUGAGGAGGAAAGAUUCAUCGCUGGGGGAUGGGGAUGCGUCUGAUUAGCUUGUCGGCGGGGUAACGGCCCACCGAGGCGACGAUCAGUAGGGGUUCUGAGAGGAAGGUCCCCCACAUUGGUACUGAGACACGGACCAAACUCC
This 320-nucleotide ribosomal RNA is filed under the name uncultured Prevotella sp. Its description in RNAcentral is "bacterial SSU rRNA". It matches the Rfam family "Bacterial small subunit ribosomal RNA", at positions 28 to 339 of the family's 1533-position model. The record is from RNAcentral. Lineage: Bacteria; Pseudomonadati; Bacteroidota; Bacteroidia; Bacteroidales; Prevotellaceae.